UAGGGAAUCUUCCACAAUGGACGCAAGUCUGAUGGAGCAACGCCGCGUGAGUGAAGAAGAUCUUCGGAUCGUAAAACUCUGUUGUUAGAGAAGAACACGAGUGAGAGUAACUGUUCAUUCGAUGACGGUAUUUAACCAGAAAGUCACGGCUAACUACGUGCCAG
Molecule: ribosomal RNA, 164 nt
Filed under: uncultured bacterium
Lineage: Bacteria
Description: partial 16S rRNA
Rfam family: Bacterial small subunit ribosomal RNA
Source: RNAcentral